This 300-nucleotide ribosomal RNA is filed under the name uncultured Lactobacillus sp. Its description in RNAcentral is "bacterial SSU rRNA". It matches the Rfam family "Bacterial small subunit ribosomal RNA", at positions 495 to 795 of the family's 1533-position model. Lineage: Bacteria; Bacillati; Bacillota; Bacilli; Lactobacillales; Lactobacillaceae. The record is from RNAcentral.
GGCCAACCCCGUGCCAGCGGCCGCGGUAAUACGGAGGGUGCAAGCGUUAAUCGGCAUUACUGGGCGUAAAGCGUGCGCAGGCGGCUUAUUAAGUCAGAUGUGAAAUCCCUAGGCUCAACCUAGGAACUGCAUUUGAAACUAAUAAACUAGAGUAUCGUAGAGGGAGGUAGAAUUCCAGGUGUAGCGGUGAAAUGCGUAGAUAUCUGGAGGAAUACCAGUGGCGAAGGCGACCUCCUGGACGAAAACUGACGCUCAAGCACGAAAGCAUGGGGAGCAAACAGGAUUAGAUACCCAGUAGUC